This 300-nucleotide ribosomal RNA is filed under the name uncultured Thalassomonas sp. RNAcentral describes it as "bacterial SSU rRNA". It matches the Rfam family "Bacterial small subunit ribosomal RNA", at positions 114 to 401 of the family's 1533-position model. Lineage: Bacteria; Pseudomonadati; Pseudomonadota; Gammaproteobacteria; Alteromonadales; Colwelliaceae. The record is from RNAcentral.
UGCUUGGGAAUAUGCCUUAUGGUGGGGGACAACAGUUGGAAACGACUGCUAAUACCGCAUAACGUCUACGGACCAAAGGGGGAGGUCUUCGGUACCGUCUCGCCACUUUGUAUUAGCCCAACGUGAGAUUAGUCUAGUUGGUAAGGUAAGAGCUUACCAAGGCGACGAUCUCUAGCUGGUUUGUAGAGGAUGAUCAGCCACACUGGGACGUGAGACACGGCCCGACGACUCCUACGGGAGGGCAGCAGUGGGGAAGUAAUUGCACAAUGGGGGAAACCCGUACGAUGCAGCCAUGCCGCG